AUUUUUCUUACUUUGUUAAGGUUCAAAUUGUUCAAAGAUAACAAUGGAAUAGAUAAAUCUGUUGAUUUGGAAUCACCAGAUGGGUAGGUGUCAAAAAUGAUGAAUUGAUUUCUUACCUAUGUAACUAAAGUUUUAUUUUUGUUCGUAUGUAAUCAUGGAUUCAUGAAUCCAUUAUUUUCAAUUGUAUCUUUCAAGUGGUAUUUUUUGCUUAUUUUCCUUUUUUUUUUUUAUCUCAAAAAC
This 240-nucleotide long non-coding RNA is filed under the name Trifolium pratense (red clover). Its description in RNAcentral is "long non-coding RNA (TPRA_LNC000438)". The record is from RNAcentral. Lineage: Eukaryota; Viridiplantae; Streptophyta; Magnoliopsida; Fabales; Fabaceae.